GUGCAGCCGUAGAAUGUAGAAGUUUAGAGAGGGGACGGCAGGAAGCUUCAGAGUGAGCAAGGACAGAAGGCAAGGCUUGAGGCAAGCUUGGAGGGCAGCACUUACCACUGAAAGAAGGGCUGGGAGCACUUGCUGUUAGAUUCCCUGCUGCUCUCAGGACUUUGGGCUAACAGGACAACCACAAAGAAUCCUGCAGAUUGACACCUCUGGGCUUUCAGGCUUAUAAUUCUGGUCAGGAAGAGCAAUCUCCAGGCUUCCAAGGCUGAGACUCCUUGUGUUGACCAGGGUCCCAUCACCUGUGUUGCUGCAGCAGGCAGGCUUCAGGGAGAAGCACGUACCAUGAUGUUGGGUUUGCCUUAGUAUCUGUUCAUACAUUGAAGAGUUUGUUCAACUCAUGUUCUGGUAAGAGCCACCCUUCACACUGUGUUGUUGCAGUGAAGGUUUGGGAGAGGCAAAGAUAGGUCCUUGCUGUACUCUGUCCCGUGCACUUACCUCGCCAGUUAGUUUUGAAGAAGCUGUUUGGGCAAAAGGGACCAAAUUUGGCAGAUGAUCUGUUGUUACUUCAUCCUUUCUGUUGAACAGAAUUGAACUAUCUACACUUUAAUAUCUUUUUAUGUAACUUGCAGUAACAGGAAUCCUCUGAACUCUGGAUUACACCACAGAUGAAGAACGAUGAAGCAAAGUUGUUUUCUUUUGGGCAUGAAUAUUUGCAGGAAUAAGAGUCUACUCCAGAAAGCCACUGGGAUCAAUCCAUAUAAUCAAGUAAGAGAAUAGAUGGGCAGUGCACACAUUCAGCAAGUCAUUGACAUUAAUAACCACUUGUUGUCUAGAGCUGGAAGAUUACUCAUGUACUAUAAACGUGAUCAUGAAAGACAUCAGCACUUUGGAGAACAAAUGUUGCCCAUAGUUUUGGUGAACCCAAAACAGGCGUUUUCAGCAGUCAGUGUCUGAAAUCCAGCUGUUACCAGAAGUGGAGGGAACCACACUCAGCACUGCUGGGAAGAUGUUUUCUGUAUAUU
This is a long non-coding RNA of Neopsephotus bourkii (Bourke's parrot), 1019 nucleotides long. RefSeq lists it as uncharacterized. The transcript is spliced from 4 exons. The record is from RefSeq and is a predicted model, not a curated record. Lineage: Eukaryota; Metazoa; Chordata; Aves; Psittaciformes; Psittacidae.